RNAcentral lists this ribosomal RNA (423 nucleotides) under Triticum aestivum (bread wheat). Its description in RNAcentral is "partial small subunit ribosomal RNA". The record is from RNAcentral. Lineage: Eukaryota; Viridiplantae; Streptophyta; Magnoliopsida; Poales; Poaceae.
AUGCUGGAGCAUCCGCAUGAGACUAGGCUGGCGGCGGCGGCAGCGCGCCGGCGGCAGGAACUCGUGGACAAUCUCACUUCGGAGGGCAAGGCGAUCUAUAAGAUGGUCACGCACGCAAGCGAGGCGACCCAUCUUCGCCACCAGAAGGAGAUUGAGGCGAUGAUUGUUGCGGCGGUGGGCGGCGCAGUUGAGGCGGUGGUGUCGCACUCGGUCGGGGCGGCCGUCGACAAGGCCAUCGAGGCGGCGAUGGAAACAGCCGUGAACGACAUGCAAGCGUACACUGACGGCGCCGAAGCGGACCUCCUCAAGCAGAUCCAGGAACUGCGCGUCGCCAAGGGUUCGACAACUCGUCCCAAUGAAGCAAAAGGGGCCGAGCGCUCUCCCAAGGGCGCGGCGGAAGGGAACACGCAGGCGUUCCGUUGA